UUACGACCAUAUCACGUUGAAAUCCCGAUUUUCGUACGAUCACCGAAGUUAAGCAACGUCGAGCCUCGUUAGUACCGAGGUCGUUGACCGCUUGGGUAUACCAGCUGCUGAAA
This is a non-coding RNA of Acanthosepion pharaonis, 113 nucleotides long. The record is from the annotation of a GenBank genome assembly. NCBI's taxonomy places the organism in Eukaryota, Metazoa, Mollusca, Cephalopoda, Sepiida, Sepiidae.